AGAACGAACGCUGGCGGCAGGCUUAACACAUGCAAGUCGAACGCUCCGCAAGGGGAGUGGCAGACGGGUGAGUAACGCGUGGGAACAUACCCCUCGGUUCGGAAUAACUCAGGGAAACUUGAGCUAAUACCGGAUACGGUCGAGAGGCGAAAGAUUUAUCGCCGAGGGAUUGGCCCGCGUCCGAUUAGCUAGUUGGUGAGGUAAUGGCUCACCAAGGCGACGAUCGGUAGCUGGUCUGAGAGGAUGAUCAGCCACAUUGGGACUGAGACACGGCCCAAACUCCUACGGGAGGCAGCAGUGGGGAAUAUUGGACAAUGGGCGAAAGCCUGAUCCAGCCAUGCCGCGUGAGUGAUGACGGCCUUAGGGUUGUAAAGCUCUGCCGGAGGGGAAGAACACAAUGACGGUACCCUACCAAGAACGCCCCGGCUAACUACGUGCCAGCAGCCGC
Molecule: ribosomal RNA, 448 nt
Filed under: uncultured bacterium
Lineage: Bacteria
Description: SSU rRNA
Rfam family: Bacterial small subunit ribosomal RNA
Source: RNAcentral